RNAcentral lists this ribosomal RNA (475 nucleotides) under uncultured Bacteroidota bacterium. RNAcentral's name for it is "bacterial SSU rRNA". It matches the Rfam family "Bacterial small subunit ribosomal RNA", at positions 9 to 475 of the family's 1533-position model. The record is from RNAcentral. Lineage: Bacteria; Pseudomonadati; Bacteroidota.
GAGUUUGAUCAUGGCUCAGGAUGAACGCUAGCGGCAGGCUCAAUACAUGCAAGUCGAGGGGCAGCAGCUUUAUAGCAAUAUAGAGGCUGGCGACCGGCAAACGGGUGCGGAACACGUACACAACCUUCCUUGAAUAGGGGGAUAGCCCAUAGAAAUGUGGAUUAAUACCCCGUAAUAUAGCGGUGUGGCAUCACACUGUUAUUAUAGUUUCGGCGAUUCGAGAUGGGUGUGCGGCUGAUUAGGUAGUUGGCGGGGUAAAGGCCCACCAAGCCUUCGAUCAGUAGCUGAUGUGAGAGCAUGAUCAGCCACACGGGCACUGAGACACGGGCCCGACUCCUACGGGAGGCAGCAGUAAGGAAUAUUGGUCAAUGGACGCAAGUCUGAACCAGCCAUGCCGCGUGAAGGAUGAAGGUCCUCUGGAUUGUAAACUUCUUUUAUAGGGGGCGAAAAAAGGUCUUUCUAGAUCACUUGACAG